Long non-coding RNA from Austrofundulus limnaeus, 467 nucleotides. RefSeq lists it as uncharacterized. The record is from RefSeq and is a predicted model, not a curated record. The transcript is spliced from 3 exons. NCBI's taxonomy places the organism in Eukaryota, Metazoa, Chordata, Actinopteri, Cyprinodontiformes, Rivulidae.
GGUUGCAGGAUGUAAGCAGGCUGACUGAGGGGGUGGUGGGGGGGCUUCUGGGAACCAUGUGCACCACCAUUAUGGUUCUCUCCUCCCUGGCUUUUGUACUGCGUCGAUAUYUCUUCGGCCGAGGCAAAACAUUUCCCAAAGACCCGGGCAAGAAGGAGACGCUCUCAGUGCCGAUCAGAGACCCCAUUAAGUGACAUUCAUCCUGUCACCAGGGUGUUUCUUCUCUCAGUCAACCCAAAAAAGGGGACUAAAAGUUGAGAUGUCUUCACAUCCUGUCUUCACCUGAACCUCAGAGUCCUCGUCUUUAUCCAUCAGCUCUCAGAUCCUGAGCGAUGUCACUAAUCUCUCAUUACUAAAUGAAACUUAAAACAAUCUGUUUAAAUGUUACAGAUUUCUUCUUAAAUCUACGCAUCAAUAAAAAGUCAGAUGUAUUUGUUUGGUUUGUACAUUAAAGCUUCCAAAUGUUU